AAGUCGUAACAAGGUAACCGUAGGUGAACCUGCGGUUGGAUCAUUACCAAAUCCAAACUGGUGCCUUGGAAAGGAGGGGGGGGCUACCCCUCUCCCUCCGCUCCCUGGUGCCUUUCACACCAUGUGCAAUGUUCUUUUGGAAACGGGUGGUGUUUGUGGCUGUGUGUGUGUGUGCUUGCGCACUCGCACUCUCUCACUCCCCCCACCCGCUCCAUUCACAACCAUGUGCUCUCCAAUCACCUGACGUUUACCCUCGUGGACCUGGUGCGCGCCUAGCGUGUGCCGGUGGCCAUUAGAGCUUAACGAAAAACAACUUUUGACAACGGAUCUCUUGGCUCUC
Molecule: unclassified non-coding RNA, 340 nt
Filed under: fungal sp.
Lineage: Eukaryota; Fungi
Description: partial internal transcribed spacer region
Rfam family: Eukaryotic small subunit ribosomal RNA (bases 1-46)
Source: RNAcentral